GAAAAGAAACCAGAGAUGGCAAACAAGAACCCAAAGAAGGCCAAUCUUUUAGAUCACCACUCUAUCAAGCACAUUCUUGACGAGUCCGUCUCUGAGAUUGUUACCAGUCGCGGAUAUGUGGAAGAUUUUAGGAUGAGCAAUAUAAGAUUGUUGAUGGGGACCAUUAUCAUAGUUAUCGCGCUUAUUGCUCAGUUUUACAAGAAGAAGUUCCCUGAGAACAGGGACUUUUUGAUCGCUUGUAUUGUAUUGUAUGUAGUCUUCAAUGGAUUGUUGCAGCUGAUUAUAUACACAAAAGAGAAGAACGCGAUCCUUUUCACUUAUCCUCCUAAGGGAUCUUACACCAGCACUGGUUUGGUGGUCUCUUCCAAAUUGCCUAGAUUUUCUGAUGACUACACACUUAGCAUAGCAAGUGCAGAUCCCAAAUCAAUUUCUGCAGGGAAACCAGUGCAGUUUACCAGGAGCGUCACCCAAUGGUUCACCAAGGAUGGAGUUUUAGCGGAAGGGUUGUUCUGGGNNNGAACGAUGUUGAAGCUCUAAUAGAUGAUUAUGCAGGAGAACCAAAGAAGAACAAAUAAGCCCCUCUUCCAACAAUAUUUGAUAGGUCAAUGGUUAGACAGAUACGCCAACAAUAUUGUGAUUUGAUAUGGAUGUUCAUUGAAAUUAUGGUGAUUGCCCUGAAAAUUUUUGAG
RNAcentral lists this unclassified non-coding RNA (689 nucleotides) under Hevea brasiliensis (rubber tree). Lineage: Eukaryota; Viridiplantae; Streptophyta; Magnoliopsida; Malpighiales; Euphorbiaceae. The record is from RNAcentral.